CCUUCAAUGACAACUUGUAAAUUCAUUCUCCCACAAUCUUGUUUAGAUUUAGACCAUACUGUGGGGUAUUUUUCUUUAAGAUAGGUUACAAAAUCAUCAUCUUCUUGUAUAGAAGGUGACACUUCACCCUGCUUUACAGCCAUGACAUGACUAUACCAUCCUAAAUCAUUAGGUCUAACCACUCCACCUGAUUUGCUCUCACCUGGAGCUUGCCACAAAACCAAAUUCAAUAAAUCCACAUACAACUUUUUUCCAUUGAUAACAUCCAUCCCCAAAAUAGUACAGUGGGAAGAGAGGUCGACCCAUAAGUCACAAUUUAUUUUACCUCCUUCAAAUUCAAUGUCAUUAUCAGUGGAUAGAGUUGCAUGGGCAUGUGCUCCAUUAAAACUUAGAAGGGAAAUUGUUGGUGCUUCAAUUUUUAAAGGCAA
Non-coding RNA from Pelobates cultripes (western spadefoot toad), 428 nucleotides. The record is from the annotation of a GenBank genome assembly. Lineage: Eukaryota; Metazoa; Chordata; Amphibia; Anura; Pelobatidae.